CCCUGCCACACAAGACCGACAACGUUAUGCCUACCGAGUCUUUAAAAUGGAUUCGUUGUAAGAGUGAGAGAACUUACAGAAUCUUGAGAUUUGCAAGCUUGGUUGGAGAGUUUGGAGAGGGAAGGAGGGAUGGUGCCAGUGAGGUUAUUAUGGUAAAGAUCAAGGCUCACAAGACUCUUGAGCCCACCAAACUCUUCUGGAAUGGGUCCUUCCAAGUUGUUCAUGUAUAGUUCCCUGUCACCAUUACCACAUUAUCAGGGAAACCCACCCACCAUAUUUACUGAUCCGAAUCGAAAUUUAUGUUCCGUCUUAAUAAAAAUUAUGGUCGACUAGGAUGAGACUUGAACCUGAAACCUUCCUAACAGUCUCUUAAAAGAAGAAAGUGAACUCACAGAUACUGAAGAUGCUCCAGCUUCCCCAACUCCGGUACCAGAUUCCCCGACAGCUUUGCGUUUCCCAGAUCACUGUCACCAGCUAUUCACUUUUUAAUACCCAAUUCCAUAAAUGUACAUGGUACUACUAACCAUAUUAUUGUAUGAAUAUUUUGUCUACUUUGACAAGUUUUCGAACAAACUCUGGUACGUCAAAGAAGUGUGAACACGUACAAUGGACCCACCCCAGAUGCCAGAACCAUAUUUUAUUUUACGAUAUUCUGUGCUU
Long non-coding RNA from Ipomoea nil (Japanese morning glory), 660 nucleotides. RefSeq lists it as uncharacterized. The transcript has 2 exons. The record is from RefSeq and is a predicted model, not a curated record. Lineage: Eukaryota; Viridiplantae; Streptophyta; Magnoliopsida; Solanales; Convolvulaceae.